Molecule: transfer RNA, 72 nt
Filed under: Oscillatoriales cyanobacterium USR001
Lineage: Bacteria; Bacillati; Cyanobacteriota; Cyanophyceae; Oscillatoriales
Description: tRNA-Gly
Rfam family: tRNA (bases 6-61)
About the family: Transfer RNA (tRNA) molecules are approximately 80 nucleotides in length. Their secondary structure includes four short double-helical elements and three loops (D, anti-codon, and T loops). Further hydrogen bonds mediate the characteristic L-shaped molecular structure. tRNAs have two regions of fundamental functional importance: the anti-codon, which is responsible for specific mRNA codon recognition, and the 3' end, to which the tRNAs corresponding amino acid is attached (by aminoacyl-tRNA synthetases). tRNAs cope with the degeneracy of the genetic code in two manners: having more than one tRNA (with a specific anti-codon) for a particular amino acid; and 'wobble' base-pairing, i.e. permitting non-standard base-pairing at the 3rd anti-codon position.
Source: RNAcentral
GGAUAUGGUGCAACGGUAGCAUCUGAGUCUUCCAAACUCGCGAUACGGGUUCAAAUCCUGUCAGGACUACCA